Molecule: microRNA precursor, 91 nt
Filed under: Equus caballus (horse)
Lineage: Eukaryota; Metazoa; Chordata; Mammalia; Perissodactyla; Equidae
Description: mir-544 microRNA precursor family
Rfam family: mir-544 microRNA precursor family
Source: Rfam by way of RNAcentral
AUCACUUGGGGAUCUUGUUAAAAGGCAGAUUCUGAUUCAAUAGGUGGGGUCUGAGACUCUGCGUUUAUGACUAGUUCCCUGGUGAUGCCAA